CCUACGGGAGGCAGCAGUGGGGAAUAUUGCGCAAUGGGCGAAAGCCUGACGCAGCGACGCCGCGUGAGGGAUGAAGGUCUUCGGAUCGUAAACCUCUGUCAGCAGGGAAGAACGGUCACUGUGCUAAUCAGCAGUGAAUUGACGGUACCUGCAAAGGAAGCACCGGCUAACUCCGUGCCAGCAGCCGCGGUAAUACGGAGGGUGCGAGCGUUAAUCGGAAUUACGGGGCGUAAAGCGCUCGUAGGCGGUAUGUCAAGUCAAGGGUGAAAUCCCCGGGCUCAACGUGGGAACUGCCUUUGAAACGGGUCAACUGGAGUGUGGGAGAGGAUAGUGGAAUUUCAGGUGUAGGAGUGAAAUCCGUAGAUAUCUUGAGGAACAUCAGUGGCGAAGGCGACUAUCUGGCACAUAACUGACGCUGAGGAGCGAAAGCGUGGGUAGCAAACAGGAUUAGAUACCCUGGUAGUC
This 465-nucleotide ribosomal RNA is filed under the name uncultured bacterium. RNAcentral's name for it is "partial 16S ribosomal RNA". It matches the Rfam family "Bacterial small subunit ribosomal RNA", at positions 338 to 795 of the family's 1533-position model. The record is from RNAcentral.